AGGGCACCGCCAGGAGUGGAGCCUGCGGCUUAAUUUGACUCAACACGGGAAAACUCACCCGGCCCGGACACUGUAAGGAUUGACAGACUGAGAGCUCUUUCUUAAUUCGGUGGGUGGUGGUGCAUGGCCGUUCUCAGUCGGUGGAGCGAUUUGUCUGGUUAAUUCCGAUAACGAACGAGACUCUGGCCUAUUAAAUAGACGGUGUAUCUUGAAGUAUACCGCGCUUCUUAGAGGGACAAGCGGCGUCUAGCCGCAUGAAAUAGAGCAAUAACAGGUCUGUGAUGCCCUUAGAUGUCCGGGGCUGCACGCGCGCUACACUGAAAGAAUCAGAGUGCGAUUAGCCUGGUUCGGAAGAAUCGGGUAACCCAAGUAAAUUCUUUCGUGCUUGGGAUAGGGAAUUGCAAUUAUUUCCCUUAAACGAGGAAUUCCCAGUAAAUGCGGGUCAUAAGCUCGCGUUGAUUACGUCCCUGCCCUUUGUACACACCGCCCGUCGCUACUACCGAUUGGAUGACUUAGUGA
Molecule: ribosomal RNA, 519 nt
Filed under: uncultured eukaryote
Lineage: Eukaryota
Description: SSU rRNA
Rfam family: Eukaryotic small subunit ribosomal RNA
Source: RNAcentral